This is a non-coding RNA of Macaca mulatta (Rhesus monkey), 961 nucleotides long. The record is from the annotation of a RefSeq genome assembly. Lineage: Eukaryota; Metazoa; Chordata; Mammalia; Primates; Cercopithecidae.
GUGAUGUCACUGUGGGAACUGCCCUGUGGGGACAAGGACGUCCGUCAUCCUCUGCUCCUGCUCACAGUGACACUGAUCUGGUAACGCCCCCGUCCUAGCCUGACCCUGCCAUGGGCACCAGGCUCCUCUGCUGGGUGGUCCUGGGUUUCCUAGGGACAGAUCACACAGGUGCUGGAGUCUCCCAGUCCCCAAGGUACAAAGUCACAAAGAGGGGACAGGAUGUAGCUCUCAGGUGUGAUCCAAUUUCGGGUCAUGAUUACCUUUACUGGUACCAACAGGCCCUGGGGCAGGGCCCAGAGCUUCUGACUUACUUCAAUUACAAAGCUCAACCAGACAAAUCAGGGCUGCCCAAUGAUCGCUUCUCUGCAGAGAGGCCUGAGGGAUCCAUCUCCACUCUGAAGAUCCAGGGAACAGAGCAACGAGACUCGGCCGUGUAUCUCUGGGCCAGCAGCUUAGCCACAGCGUGGCACGGUCGCCUCCUUCCUGUUUACAAACCUCAUCCUUCUUUCUCUUUGCAGCUCCAAGAGCCCCUUACUUUUUGUCUCUCUUUGCUCCUCACUUUUCAUGGGAAAGAGGUGGAUUUGGACUUCGGCUGUCCUUUGGGUAGAAACAGACCACAGAUUCAUUCCUGAAACACAGUGACUGCAAAUGUAGGUGGUGAAAACAAUCACGGCCCACUGCACUCUAGGAGUCCUCUGAACCAGCUCACUUCUUCAAGCAAGGAGUGGGUGUCUCAGCCUAGGCCUUCAGGGCAGACAUGCAUCUUCUAUACGUUUUGGAGGCUGUGGUGCUGCCCACACCCAUGAGGUUGUCAAGGGAGGGAAACAUGCCUCUUCUCCUGCAUAUGUUGGGGCAUCUGGAAAGUCUGAGGCUACAUACCCAGGAACGUCUUUCUUUCGAAGCUCUUCUAUGCCUGUCACCAUGGAAGUUUUCUGCAACAAAAUAUUGAACCUCUCUUCCU